This 843-nucleotide long non-coding RNA is filed under the name Salvia miltiorrhiza (redroot sage). RNAcentral describes it as "long non-coding RNA (SMIL_LNC005865)". The record is from RNAcentral. Lineage: Eukaryota; Viridiplantae; Streptophyta; Magnoliopsida; Lamiales; Lamiaceae.
AUCCAAUGGCCUAUUAAAUUGAGAGGGAUGGAGUAUAUAUUACAUUUAAUAUUAUAAAUUUAUGGGAAACUAAACGAACAAUUCAUAUACUCCGAUCCCUCUUGGUUAGUAGAGAAAAAUGGUGUCGACAAAGUUAACGUUUUGUAUAUUAUAAAUAGGAGGCAUCUUAUAUGUGUAUUUUCACGUACGUUUCCAUGUCAAAUCCUCUGGUGUUCCAUUUGAUGGAGUUGAAUUUACAAGCACAGAAGGUUGAAGGAGAAGGUGGCGGUUACUACGCCCAAAACUCCGGCAGUCGGCGCCGGUAGACUUGUUCUGCACCCACAUGGCUUCGCUUGCAAGAUUGGUUACGUCGUCCAAGGUAACUCUAGAUAUAUAUAUAUAGUUUACACGUUUAUUCAACUUAUGAAACGAGUAAAUUAAAUUGGAAUUUUAAGAAUGAGAUUACAAAUUUACAAUUAUGUAUAUAUAGUAAAAGAUGAUAAGAGAAAUUAGUAAGAUGGUAUUCAUAUGUAAAGAUGAAGAAAUGAGGAGUAAUAUAUAUGAUGAGUUAUGAGUAUAGGUAGUUGCAGAGAAUUAAGGCAGAAGAGAAGGUGAUGAUUCCAAUUGAUGCGACUUGUUCUUCUCCGCCAACUUUAUCAGCAACGCAAUUAUCAUUAAGGUCCGAAAUUGGUGCGAUUCAGAUGGUAGGGUUGAAGGGUACGAUGAGAUUGAGGGAUUGGGAUUCGAAUUCAAUAUGUAUUUGGUUUUUUUAUGUUUGUUGCAGGGAACACAUCGCCAUAUAAAGCAUUGUCUUCAUCACUUUUAGAAGAAUCAAUUAUGCACAAAAUGUAUAAUGUAGACGCG